Molecule: ribosomal RNA, 455 nt
Filed under: uncultured Desulfobulbus sp.
Lineage: Bacteria; Pseudomonadati; Thermodesulfobacteriota; Desulfobulbia; Desulfobulbales; Desulfobulbaceae
Description: bacterial SSU rRNA
Rfam family: Bacterial small subunit ribosomal RNA
Source: RNAcentral
CGGUGGAGUAUGUGGUUUAAUUCGAUGCAACGCGAAGAACUUACCUGGUCUUGACAUCCCGGAGACCCUUAGGAAACUAGGGGUGCUUCCAUCUGGAGAAUCUGGAGACAGGUGCUGCAUGGCUGUCGUCAGCUCGUGUCGUGAGAUGUUGGGUUAAGUCCCGCAACGAGCGCAACCCUUGCCUUUAGUUGCCAGCAGUUCGGCUGGGCACUCUAAAGGGACUGCCGGUGUUAAACCGGAGGAAGGUGGGGAUGACGUCAAGUCCUCAUGGCCUUUAUGACCAGGGCUACACACGUACUACAAUGGCCGAUACAAAGGGCAGCGACACUGCGAGGUGAAGCCAAUCCCGUAAAAUCGGUCUCAGUCCGGAUUGGAGUCUGCAACUCGACUCCAUGAAGUUGGAAUCGCUAGUAAUCGUGGAUCAGCAUGCCACGGUGAAUACGUUCCCGGGCCUU